GUGAGGCUGCCCAGAUUCCCAAAUAGCAAUUCUCUCUAUCUCUCUCUCUCUCUCUCUCUCUCUCUCUCUCUCUCUCUCUCUUUUUUUUUUUUUUUCCUCUAAGAAACAGGGUCUUACUAUGUUGCUCAGGCUGGUCUCAAACUCCUGGCUUCCAGCAAUUCUCCCUCAGCCUCCCAAAGUGUUAGGAUUACAGGCAUGAGCUACCACACCUGACCAGAAAUGUUCUUGUCUUCAUAGGAGCGUGGGUUACACAGAUGAAUGCAUUUGUCCAAACUCAUCAAACUCUAGACUUUAAGAUCUAUGCCUUUCACCAUAUGCAAAUUAUACCACAAUAGAAGAAGAAAAUGACUUGCCACAUCUCACAACCAAAUGAGCAGCGCAGCUCCUAAGUGGAGAUGGCAGCUCAGGGCCGAGGGAGCAAAUUUUCCAGAAGAGAUGGACAGAGAAGUGGGUCUGAAAGGGCUCUGGGGACAGGGUCAGCCUUGAGUUGACGGAACACCUGGGGCAUGGAGCUCUCUCCAGGCGAGUGACAGCUACAUGGAUGAAGCUGAAGGGUGGAGCUGGAGGUGUCUAGGGUGCAAGCCAGGCCUGCAAAGGUCAAAGGGAGAGAAACAAUGAGGCCAUGUGGCCCCAACUGUUGGUGGUUUCCUCGGAGCGUCAGAGGCUGCUGACAUUGCCCAGCUGGGCAGCAUCCUGGGAACAGAGAGGGUGGACUCAACAGCACAGAGAGGCAAGGGAAAGGGUGAGACCCCAGUGCUGAGGGUCGAGCCUCUGGUUUAUCCACACUGCUUCUUCCCAAAGUCCCUUGAGCUAGAGCAGCGGGAUGGGCAUGAGUACUUCCUGAGUCUGUCUCCCACCCAGUGACCACACAGCAAAGCCAGGGCAGCUGCGCAUGGCUUCCUGGUAGAAAGCCCCUCUCCCACCCAUGGAAGUCAGACUCCAUGAGCCUCUCCCCACUGCUCUCAGGCCGCCAGCCCCACCGUCUGCCUUGUUCCACUCAGAUGGGGUGAGACCAGCACCCGCCCUUGAACCAGGGCCUGACUCCACCCCACAUGCCCCUCAUCCCCUGGGUAACACAUCUAACCUGCCACCUGGGAGGAACCGGAAGCCCUGCUGAAGGUUAGAUGCCUCGGGCAUCAGGCAUGAACUGUGGCUCUGCCACUGACCAGCUGGGAGAACUUGAGCAGUUCCCAGAGCUCUGUGACUUGGUUUCCCCACUUGGAAAAUGAGGGUACUAAUCAUACUCAUGGGAUUGUAGUGAGGCUAAAAUGAGCUAAGGCAUUAAAUAAAUUAUAUAAAAUAAGCUCCUAGUUUCUAACAGUACAAUGUUACAAGUGAAUUAGCAUUUUUCUUUUUUUUCUUUUUUUUUCUUUUUUAUUAUGCUUUAAGUUCUAGGGUACAUGUGCACAACUUGCAGGUUUGUUACAUAGGUAUACGUGUGCCGUGUUGGUUUGCUGCACCCAUUAACUCGUCAUUUACAUUAGGUAUUUCUCCUAAUGCUAUCUGUCCCCCAGCCCCCCACCCCACGACAGGCCCCGGUAUGUGAUAUUCCCCACUCUAUGUCCAAGUGUUCUUAUUGUUCAAUUCCCACCUAUGAGUGAGAACAUGCGGUGUUUGGUUUUCUGUCCUUGCGAUAGUUUGCUCAGAAUGAUGGUUUCCAGCUUCAUCCAUGUCGCUUCAAAGGACAUGAACUCAUCCUUUUUUUAUGGCUGCAUAGUAUUCCAUAGUGUGUAUAUGUGCCACAUUUUCUUAAUCCAGUCUAUCACUGAUGGACAUUUGGGUUGGUUCCAAGUCUUUGCUAUUGUGAAUAGUGCCACAAUAAACAUACAUGUGCAUGUGUCUUUAUAGUAGCUUGAUUUGUAAUCCUUUGGGUAUAUACCCAGUAAUGAGAUCACUGGAUCAAAUGGUAUUUCUAGUUCUAGAUCCUUGAGGAAUUGCCACACUGACUUCCACAAUGGUUGAACUAGUUUACAGUCCCACCAACAGUGUAAAAGCAUUCCUGUUUCUCCACAUCCUCUCCAGCACCUGUUGUUUCCUGACUUUUUAAUGAUCGCCAUUCUAACUGGUGUGAGAUGGUAUCUCACUGUGGUUUUGAUGUGCAUUUCUCUGAUGGCCAGUGAUGAUGAGCAUUUUUUCAUGUGUCUGUUGGCCGCAUAGAUGUCUUCUUUUGAAAAGUGUCUGUUCAUAUUCGUUGCCUACUUUUUGAUGGGGUUGUUUGAUUUUUUCUUGUAAAUUUGUUUAAGUUCUUUGUAGAUUCUGGAUAUUAGCCGUUUGUCAGAUGGGUAGAUUGCAAACAUUUUCUCCCAUUCUGUAGGUUGCCUGUUCACUCUGAUGGUAGUUUCUUUUGCUGUGCAGAAGCUCUUUAGUUUAACUAGAUCCCAUUUGUCUAUUUUGGCUUUUGUUGCCAUUGCUUUUGGUGUUUUAGCCAUGAAGUCCUUACCCAUGCCUAUGUCCUGAAUGGUAAUGCCUAGGUUUUCUUCUAGGGUUUUUAUGGUUUUAGGUCUAACAUGUAAGUCUUUAAUCCAUAAGUAUCCCGGAAUUAGACAGUGGUGAUGGUUGCCCAACUCUGUGAAUCUACUAAAUGCCACUGAAUCAUACACUUUAGAAAGGGGUGAAUAUUAUGGUAGAUGAAUUAUACGUAAUAAAAAGUUAUUUUAAAAAGUUAAGCAUGUAUUUACCAUAUGACCCAGAAAAAUCCCAUUUCUAAAGUAUUUCCCAAGAGAAAUAAAAGCAUGGGAGUUGAUUGAAUUGGGACAAAGGUGGAAGCAGGCGGAAGUGGUGGGCCUCCCCUGAGGCCCUCCUGGCAGCUCGGCCUGUCCUCCACUCUUUGCUAGGGAUUUGGCUACGGGUAAUUCAGAUGGCAGCUCCCAGCCUGGGGCCUUGGAGCAGGUUUGACUAUGCACUUGUAAUAGGGAUGCCGUUUUCUGUUGACUGUUAAACUGGAGCAUUCUGCUUGCUUCCUUUCUUCUAGCACUUGAACCUUGCAGCCCUCCACCUCUCCUCUGGGGCAGGAGGGGCCUGACUCCUUGGGAAGGCUUUGUGGUCUAGCUCCUUCUCCCUAUUUAAGUUUGGUUCACUGACCAGCGGCCUGAGCAUCACUUGGGCGCUUAAUAGAAACGCAGAGUCUUUGGCCCCCCCUCCUCCGCCAGACCAGCUGAGUCUGAAUCUGCCUUUAACAAGGCCCCAGGCAACCCACGCGCUCAGGGGAGCUGGAGCAGUGUGUUCUUUUCAGAGCAUGCAAGUUGAGCUGCUCACCAUUAAGGCUUAACCAGUAGACUACACAAGGAAUGAGGAAGGAAAUUUCACCCUCAUAUCCUUGAGAGCCCCGGUUAUGGGUUGAAUUGUGUGUCUCCCAAAAGACAAAGGUUGAAGUCCUGACCCCUAGCACCUCAGAGUGUGACUGUGUUUGGAGGUAGGGUCUUUGCAGAUGUCAUUAGUGAAGGUGAGGUCAUACUGGAGUAGGCUGGGCCCUGAUCCAAUGUGACUGGUGUCCUCAUUAGAAGAUGAUCACAUGAAGACAGAGACACCCGGAGAACGCCAUGUGACAGCAGAGGCAGAGAUUGGAGUGGAGCAUCUAUAAGCCCAGGAACGUAAAUAUUGCCUGCAAACUCCCAGAAGCUGGAAGAAACAAGGAAGGCUCCUGCCCUACAGGUUUCAGAGGGAAACGUGGUCCCGCUGACACCUUGAUUUCAGACUUCGGGCCUCCAGAACUGUGAGACCAGACAUUGCUAUGGUUUUAAGCCACAUGGCUCGAGGUGCUUUGUUAUGGCAGCUCUAGGAAUCUAAUACAGUGCCCAAGACAGAGGGACCAUGCUGUCCUCCCAGAUGACUCCCCCUGUGCCUACCUGUGACAGUGACCAUAGCUAGUAAACCAGGGGCUCACAAUGUCUUUAGGCUGAAGGGGGCCUUCAAGUUGAGUGUCCCCAGGACAUGCUUAGCCUUCAUGUGACCCGGAUGCCCCCGAGUGUUCUGGCAGCCCUGGAGAGGCACACUGUCGGGCAGCUGAGCCGAGAGCCUGUGAGCUGGCCUAUAAUCCACGGCUGAGACUCAGAGGGGUGUCCCAGCCUGCCGGCUCCCCAUUCAGGCCAAGUCAGCUGAGGAGGGCCUGUCCACGCGCAGAGGGUCCAGACCACAUGCUCUGCCAGCCCAUGACCUCGGCACUGGAGGGCACAAGAGACAGAAGGGCAGUGACAGCUGGGACGAGAGGAAGAGCGGAUCUCAGAUGCUCCCAGGCUCUCGGCGCUCGCGGGUAGGAAGGUCUUCUGGAUUCCCUAAGAAUGUGCUACUCAGUGGGGGGGAGGAGGAGCAAGGAAGUGGCCACCGUUGGCUGCCUGUGCCCAGCAGGUCCACAUUCCCUGCUCUGAUGAGGUGGCUGCAUGUGAGGGGAUUUCACGGUGCCCCUUAGCCAGUCACAGGUCAUUGGGACCCAGGCAAAGGAAAUCCUGAGGGUCCAAGGGAAGCCUGGAUAAGAGAAACAUCUUCAAUGCCUUCCUCUCUCAUUUCCCCACCCUGCAAAGCACUGGCAUUGGGCAGUGCAAGGGAACUUCCUCCUUCCCUCUCUCCCUUCCUUCCUCUUUUCUUUCCUCUCACUCCUUUCCUCCCCCACUCCCUCCCCUGUGCACCUGUCUCCUGCCCAGCACACCUGGAGAAGGCUGCUCUGGGAUUAAUUCAGACUUAGAUGAUGGGAGUGAAGCCGCACCCCCGUCAGAGGGAAGCACUUUGGACCCAGCCACCUGUUUCCCCCGUUUGAUGAGGGAAACCAUGCCUGGCAAAGCACCGCUCCCCAGCCAGGGCAGCAGGCCAACCUGCUGUCACUGCGCCUUAAUCACCCCCACGCCCAGGCGGCACCGUCGGCAGGGCCUUUUAAUAGCAAUAGCACAGGGACAACCAGCUCACAGAGCUUCUCUGUCCCCUACAGACAGGCACCACAGAACCCUGGGAGACAGAAAGCUAAACAAGCCCAGCCUCCCUGCCUCACGCCUCGGGGCUGACUGGCUCUGACGUGGUUCGGCUGUGCUGUUCCAGCCUGGGACGGAGCACCCCGCUGCUUGGCCUUUUCCGUGCCUGCAUCCCCAGCAGGCUCUAACUGGGAUUUGCUGGGGACUCACUCCAGGCCAGGAGAGGGCCUGUGAGCUCUGGCAGUUUGUGCCGUGUGUGGGCAACAGAUCUGAGAAACGCUGUUUAAUAGGGUUGCCUCAAGCACAUUUUCAAGAUGAACACAGGAAGACUAGCAAAGUGGUGAAUAGUUUGGACUUUGGAGUCAGGCGGUUCAAGUUCAAAUCCAGUGUCCUUGAGCACCCGCUAAGCUCCCUGAGCCACACCUAAGAGUUAAAUGGCACAGUGUGUGCAAAAGCUGCUAAAAUCAGGCCGAGAAGUCGACAAUGAAGGGAAGACGGAAGGGAUUGUGAGGUCUGGGAAGUGUCUGGAAAAACGUCGCAUCGCAGAAGGCCUGUGGUGUUAGGAUAUGCGUUUUGGUUUUUGUCCAGGUUCCUGGCUCCCAGCACCCACAUUCCUUGUUAGAAUGCUGGGGCGCCUUAGGACUCAGGAAACAGAAUCUCUCUCUGACCUUCUGCUGUUUUUCUUUCACUUGCCCACGGCGGGAUGCUAAUCUGUUUGUGGAUCAAAAAACCCUCACUCCACAGAAAGUCCUGCCCCAUACCCUAGAGGAAGGAAUGCUGCUUAGAGAAGCCAAGAAAAGUCCGAGCAGGCCGGCCUUGCUGGGUUUAAGUCACACGCUUUCUGUCCGGUCACACUUCCGCGUGGUUGUCAAGCAUGCCCGUGCAUCGGAGCCUCCAUAAAAACCCACGAGGACAGGGUCCGGGAGCUUGCGGAUACCUGAACCCGUGGAGGCUCCUGGAGGGUGGCACGCCCAGGAUGGGCACCGAAGCUCCAGGCACCUUCCCCCAUAUCUCGUCCUGUGCUUCUCUUUAUCUGUACCCUUUGUGACAUUCUUUCAUAUAAACUGGUAAACGUGUUUCCCUGAGUUCUGUGAGUCGCUCCAGCAAAUUAAUCAAACACAAAGUGGGAGUUGUAGGAACCCCAACUUGAAGCCAAUGGGUCAGAAGCUCUGGAGGCCUGGCCCUGCGACUGGUGUCUGAGGGCUGAGGGGUACUCUUGGGACACUUGAGCCCUCCCCCUCUGGCAUCUGACGCUAUGUAUCUCUGGGUAGAUAUUAAAUAGGCCCAUUAAACAGUAAAUCUCAGGUCUGAUGCCCACACAGGGCAUGAGCUUCAAGAGUUCACAAACCAUUGUCUUUGACUGAUGAAUGCCUGUUUGUGGGUUCAUCAGUCAAUUCACGACUUGCAAGACUGCCCUCCAGAGCUGACACUUCACGGAGCUGUUUACUCACUGCUGGGUAACAUUCCUUUGAACGUUCUUAGGCUCUUUACAAAUGUUAAUUUAUUUAUGUCCAUAGCUCAUGGUUAGGUAGACGGUAAAUGUUCUUUCAGGUGAUGAGCGUAUUCAGCACCCAGAGAGGUGGAGGGGUGGGUUCAAAAUCACACAGAAGCCCACUGGGGCUGACUGUAUUUGUCAUGAGGACCAGUAUGUAUCACCAGGAGUUAAAAUGUCACUUUGUCACUCUUUCAAGCUAAAUGUCAAGAAAGCAAUUAGGGAUGACCCAAAGGCUUGGAGGCCGGGAACAGCCUAGCCAUCCGGGAGGCCGCAUGUGGCUCCCUGUGGCUGGUGCAGGCUUUAGGAAGGAUGGUGAGAGGUGUGCUGGGAGGGCAGGUGUCACGGCUGCUUCGUGACACCUUACCUUACUUGCUUAGCUUACACCAAGUAAGGUGUGAGGUGACCACACCACGUUAGCAAAGACAAAACAAAGAUAUCGGGGUUCUGUGAUGCCAGCCAGGGAAACAGGUGGUGAAUGCUCAGGAGCCCAGCCUGAGGCUGAGAGCCCAGCUGGGGACGCUGUGGGAGACAGCCUGGGGACAGAGAGGUAUUGAUCCAGAGGACAGACCUCCAGGGAUAGAAAGGGCCUGACAAUGGCCUGCUGGGACGUGGGUGAGGGAAGAGGUGAGGGGUGAAGGAAAGUGGUCAUCUGCAAGCCAGAGGAUACAGCAGGAGAAGGGGUCUGGAGAGAGAGACUGGGGUGCGCGCAGGACCUCCCAUCUCUGGUCACUGCUGUGUCCUGCAGGCAGCUCAGCUUCUGGCUUCCCUGGGAAAGUGCCCCACAGCCAUCUAGAAAAAAACGAAUUAUCUCCCCUCUUCAUCGCUGCCUCCCCUCAUAGGUGGGUUAGAAUCACAGGACACCACAGCUGGAAGGAAGCUUAGCAACGGUUAAGUCAGCCCCUCUGUGGCAGAGAAGGGGACACCCACGGUCACAAGGUCUGAGCUGUCUGUGGCAGAAUCAAGACUCUCAGACCCAGAGUCCCAGGAGACAGCCAAGGACGUGUUCUCAAUGCUUUGAUGACCUUCUCGUCACCAAGACACUCAUGUCUGAUUUCUCUCCCCGCGGACCCCAUGUUUUAAAAGAUUUUCAUUCACCAAAACAACUGCAUUUAUUAAGUAAUAAUUUAUUCAUUUUCCCAUUUUUAAAAUUAAUCAAAGAUACACAUAACUGCCAGCCUGAGAGCCAGAGUCUCUGAUCAGCAGGCAAUAACCCUUAUUACCACCAUGGGUUGAUUUAAUUUCUGCCAAAAGCAAAGACACUUGACAUUUUAGACAGCCUGAACAGCUUCAUUGUGCGAAAGUGGAGGUUUUCCAUUACACUUAGUGAAAUAUUCAAAAUAGCUCCCAGACCCUGGUCAAUAAUUCAUGGCACCCUUGGCCUCCAGGGAUCCCUGCUGGGAACCACCGCACCAUAUCAUUUGUGCAGGAGGUAAGAUGCAAAGGGAAUCUCACUGUCCUAGAGUCUCAGCAGCAAACUGUUAAGGGAUUUGUAGCCUGGAUCCAGUCAGAAGCCUUGGACAAACCACUCAGUCUUCCCUGAGCCUCAGGUUUCCCAUCAGUAAGGUGGGAAUAAGAUAUCAGUCAGGGUUCCUAGUUGCAAACAACAGAAAUAAACUCUGCUUAUAUUAAGGAUAAAAUAAUGUAUUAAAAGGAUACUGGGAAAAAUAGCUUGGCAGUUCCUCCACAAGUUAAACAUAGAAUCACUAUAUGACCCAGCAAUUCCAUUCCUAGGUCUAUAUCCGACAGAAUGGAAAAUAGGUCUCCACACAAAAACUAGUACAUGAAUAUUCAUAGCAGCUCUAUUCACAAUCACCAAAAGCUGGACACAACCCACUGUCCAUCAACAAAUGAAUGGGUAAAAAAAAUGUAAUAUAUCCAUGCAGUGGGAUAUUGUUUGGCCAUAGAAAGGACUGAAGCUCUGACACAUGUUACAACAUGCAUGGGCCUUGAAAACAUUCAAGGAAAGAAGUCAGACCACAGAAUGUAUGGUUCCAUUCAUAUCAAACACCCAGAAAGGGCAAAUCCAUGGAGAUGGAAUGCACUCGUGGUUGCACGGGACCGUGUGGGGAAGGGAGGAAUGAAAGCGGCUGCUUCCUGGGUACAGGGUUUCCAUUUGGGUGAUGAAGUUCUAGAACUAGAGAGUGGUGAUGGCUGCACAACAUUGAGAAAGUAUUUGAUGUCACUGGAUUGUACACAUGAUGUCUGGCAAGUCGCAGAGCAGCUGGGUGUGUGGGAACCAUGCCCGUGACUGGUCCUCAGGGAUGCUGCUGCUGCAGCCGCUGAGGGUCCUAGUUGCUGGGUGCUGCACCUGCACUGCUGACCCAGGGUCUCCAUGGCCUGCAGCUGUGCUAGCUGCCCGAGAGAGGGCCUUGGGGGCCCCUGAGACUCUGGGCAAAUGCCUCUGAUUGGCUGCCUCACAUCCCAGCUUACACCGUAAGGACGGCUGAGAAAGCAAGUCCCUGGCAUUUUUAUCUUCUGCUGUGGGAGUCAGUCCCUGCCUCCCACUGAGACACAGGAGGGGGAAUUCUCCUAAACACAGGAAGGCGGCAGAGAGGUGCUUCAGGACCACCAGCGUGUGCAGAGUUAACGACUGCUUCAAAGACAGAAGAGAACCUGUCUGAGGCGUGUGGUGCAUGGGGGAUGUGCAGGAAAUGCUAAGACAGGGGCAGAUCACAAAGUCUAUAUUGCUCUCUAAAGGUUCUUCAUGGGUGGCAACUUUCCCUCCCCUCUUCAGCCUCCUCUGAACGCCCCCCACCACUGCCACCACACAAAAACUCAUUAGUCAGAGACAGUUGCUCUCUCACCUUUCCUAUCUAGAUGUUUCUAAACUUUGAACAAGAUGAUAAUCGCAGCUGCUCAUUUGUCUAGCAGACACUAAUCCUUGCCUCUGGGCUCUGUGAUGUGCUUUGCAGUUUAGCACAAGGACCUUGCUGCUGUCCACUUAGAAACCCAGUAAUGGUGAGAUGGUGCUCAGGAGCGGGCUGGAGCUGUGGGGACCUGGUCUGCCCUCUGCGCCAGGUGACAAAGCCCCUGUCUUCUGUUUGGCCACGAUCCCCAUGGUACCAUUCACAGCCCCUCCCAGCUGGGUGUGAGGGUGGGGCGCUUUGGAAGGUCUUGCCUCUAAUCUCCUAUACAGACAAUUCCAGAAGUAAAUAGAAGCAAAAUAGGAUGCGAGUUAGGUUUUGUUUUGUUUUUUUGUUUUUAAGGGGUAAAUCUUGAUAUAAUUUUAAAAUUUCACAGAAGUUGCAAAUGUAGUACAAAGAGCUCCCAUAUACCGUUCACCCGGAUUCAACGAUGGUUUAACAUUUUAUGCCAUUUGCUUUUUCACUUCUCUCUUCCUCCUCCUCCCUUUUCUCUCCUUCUCCCUCCCCCCACAGACUCUGCCAUUUUACCUCUAAAUGCUCCAGUGUGUAUUUCCCAAAAACAAAUACCAUCUUGUACAUGAUCACAGUGUAAUUAUCAAAAUCCGGAGACUUAACACUGAUACAAUAUUAUUACCUUAAUCCUCAGCCCAUAAUCAAAGCUCACCAAUUGCCCAAUAAUGCCCACUAUAGCUUUUUGGAGAUUUUCAAGAUGUCGAUUUCUAGUUUAAUUUCACUGUGGUCAGAGAACAUGCUCCCCAAAAUGUCAACCUUUUGAGAUUUACUACAUCUAAUUCUCUGGUUCCUCCCUUGUCUCCCCAGCACUCCAGCUGGCUCCUUCUGGAAGUUUCCCUGGACUCUCUGCCACUCAGGCAUAGCUGAGAGGUCAGUUGAAGACCUGGGGGAAUUUCUACACAGGUUUUAGGGCUCCCCCCUUGCUCCUUUCUUUUUUUUAAGUCUUUUCAUUUUUAUUACUCAAAAAAACUUUAGGUCUUACAGCAAGAACCCCUCGAAGUCUGCCUGGGCACACGCCACAUGCAGAUUUUGGUGCUUUCCCAACCUUCUUGGUAUAAAGGUAAACAAUUCCAUUACCAGGGGUUCGGGGGAGCCUAGUUUUGUUAAAGGCUGUAUUUCAGGAAAGCCUACGACAGUAUGUCAAACGCCGGACCAUUCUGAGUGCCUGCAGACAACAUCCCUGGAAGUGCUCCCUUCCUCCUUUCCGCCUGGCGUUUCCCCCCUCAUUUUCCAGCCAUUUAGGAAUCGCUUCUCAUCCGCUGAGCCCUCAAGGCAGUGAGAGAGGCUGUACUUUCUGUAUCAGCCCCAGCUGGAAAGCCAGGCAAACCCUCAUCCCUUACAGAUGGACACUCUUCCGGUUUCUGCCUGUUCUUAACCACUUUCCAAUAGUUCUUUAAGAAACUUUAAAUAGUUUCUUAACUAUUUGAAGAACUAUUUAAAGAAGAACUAUUUAUUAAAUAGUUUAUUAUCUAUUUGAAGAACUAUUCAACUGAAGAACUAUUUGCCUUCAAAUAGUUCUUUAAGAAAACAUUUUUUUGUCCAGAGUUUAUACAUCAACACACACACACACACACACACACACACACACACACGUGCACAGACACAUAUAAUUAGGAAUGCAUCUUGUUUGUGUCUCAUUCCGUAAUAUGUUACUAUCACUCAAAAUAGUACAAACUCGACCCUAAUAUGACAACUUUUAAUUUUGGUUGGAUUCACCAGAUUCAAUUGUUUAUUUAUCUGAUUUCAUUAUAUCAUGAUUUCUCCUUAACAUUCAUGAAAAGGUCUUUUGGGGACUUAAUGUAAGUGACAACAGAAUUCAGUGUGAUGAAACCAAACAUAUAUGAAAUGAACCAGAUGCCAUAUGGUUAAACCUAUGAAUAUGUCAACCAGCAAUUCACUGGCGCAUAAAUGUGCAAAUGAGGAAACGUUCAAACACUUCAGCUUGUAUUUUACAAAACAGUGUUUAAAUAUUUGACAUAGUUUAGUAAUAUUUUAGAAAAAUGGCCUACCUAGUCUGGAUGAUGUAUGCGUUUGCUGGGGUUACUAUAAGGAAGUUACACACACUGGGGGCAUAAACAGCAGAAGGUUAUUGCCGGGUAGUCAUGGAGCCUGUGAGUCCAGGAUCAAAGUGUCAGGUUUGGAUUCUCCUGCAGCCUCUCUCCUUGGCUUGCAGACUUCCCUCUCUAUGUGUCUGUAUCCCAAUUGCCUCUUUUUUUAACGUUUAUUUGAAGUUCAUGGGUACAAAUGCAGGUUUGUCACAUAGGUAAACUUGUAUCAUGGGGGUUUGUUGUACAGAUUAUUUCAUCACCCAGGUAUAUUAAGCCUACUUCCCAUUCAUUAUCUUUCCUGAUCCUCUCCCUCCUCCCACCCUCCACUCUCUGAUAGGCCCCAGUGUGCGUUAUUCCCCUCUAUGUAUCCACGUGUUCUCAUCAUUUAGCUCCCACUUACAAGUGAGAAUAUGUGGUAUUUGGUUUUCUGUUCCUGUGUUUGUUCGCUUAGGAUAACGGCCUCCAGCUCCAUCCAUGUUCCUGCAAAGGACAUGAUCUUGUUCUUUUUAUGGCUGCAUAGUAUUCCAUGGUGUCUGUGUACCACAUUUUCUUUAUCCGGUCUACCAUUAAUGAGCAUUUAGGUUGAUUCCAUGUCUUUGCUAUUGUGAAUAGUGCUGCAAUGAAUAUACACAUGCACACAAAUGACUUUAGAUUAGGACAGACCCUCAUGGCCUCAUUUUAACUUAACCACCCCUGUAAAGACUUCAGAAGAUCAGGACUUCAACAGUGAAUUUGGGGGGACACAACCCAACCCAUAACAGAUGGACAGUCUCUCCCCCUGCCUGCCUUUGGUAUAUUAACUCAUAUUUUACCUAAGAGUAGAGUGGACUCUAUCUUAGGAAGGGUGGAAGCUGUGCCCUGGAGAGCCAAACCCUGACCAGAAAACCCAUUCAGAGGUGCUGGAGAUUCUAGGGGUGCUCCUCACACCCUGUGUCCGGGUGAUUCCCUUGCUCCAGGAGGCAGAGGUGCAGGAUGAACUCUGGCGUGCUUCCAUGCACUGUCUCUUAGGACCGGCUCAUUCUUAAUCUGACCAGCAUCUGCUUUACAUUUGUUUUUUCUACUUAAAAAUAUUAGCAGUCAUGGUCAGGUGCAGUGGCUUAUGCCUGUAAUCCCAGCACUUUGGGAGGCCAAGGUAGGGAGAUCACUUGAGGUCAGGUGUUUUGAGACCAGCCUGGCCAACAUGGAGAAACCCCAUCUCUACUAAAACUACAAAAAUUAGCUGGACAUGGUGGCAGGUGCCUGCAAUCCCAGCUACUCAAGUUGCAGUGAGCCAAGAUCAUGCCAUUGCACUCCAGCCUGGGUGACAGAGGGAGACUCUGUGUCAAAAAAAAAAAAAAUUGUAAUCAUGGACAUGGUAACCAAUCAAAUGCCACAAAAGAACUUAUAAUGAAAAGACCCCAUAUUCCAUCAUUAAAAAAUUACAUAGUGGGAUGUAUUUAAUGUGGCAUACAUUUGAAUGAACUCUCUUUUUUCCCAGCUUUAUGGAAGUGUUACUGACAAAAAAUGUUUACAUUUAUGGCGAACAACAUGAAGUUUUGAUAUAUGUAUACAUUGUGAAAUAAUUACCACAAUCAAGCCAAUUAACACAUCUACCACCUCACAUACCUGUCAUGUUUUGUGGAAGGAACAUUUAAAAUCUACUCUCUUAGCAAUUCUUUUUUUUUUUUUUUUUUUUUUGAGAUGGAGUCUCGCUCUGUUGCCCGGGCUGGAGUGCAGUAGCGUGAUCUCGGCUCACUGCAAGCUCUGCCCCCCAGGUUCACGCCAUUCUCCUGCCACAGUCUUCCGAGUAGCUGGGACUACAGGCGCCUACCACCAUGUCUGGCUAAUUUUUUGUAUUUUUAGGAGAGACAGCAUUUCACCAUAUUAGCCAGGAUGGUCUCGAUCUCCUGACCUCGUGAUCCGCCUGCCUCGGCCUCCCAAAGUGCUGGGAUUACAGGUGUGAGCCACCGUGCCCGGCCUCUCUUAGCAAGUUUUAAGAACACAAUACAUUGUUACUAACUAUACCCACCAUGAUGUACGAUAGGUCUCUAGAGCUCACUCCUCAUGUCUAACUGAAACUUCACACCCUUUGACCAGCAUUUCCCCAUUCUUCUCACCCCCGGGCACUGGUAACCACUAUCCUACUCUCUGCCUCUAUAAAGUUCAACUUUUUUACACUCCACCUAUAAGUGAGAUCAUGCAGUAUUUGUCUUUCUGAGUCUAGCUUAUUUCACUUAGCAUAAUGUCCUCCAGGUUCAUUCAUGUUGUUGGAAAUGUAUUUUUUAAGGCUGAGUAGUAUUCUGUUGUGUUAGUGAGGAUGUGGAGUAUAUAUAUCACAUGUGUGCAUAUACCACAUUUUCUUCAUUCAUCCAUCAAUGGACACUUAGAGUUUGAUGGCAUGUCUUGGCUACUCUGUAUAAUAAUGCAACAAAUGUGGACGUGCAGAUAUUUCUUCUAGAUACUGAUUUCAUUCCUUUGGAUAUAUCCCCAGUAGUGGGAUUGCUGGAUCACGUGGUAGUUCUAUUUUUAAUUUUUUGAGGAACCUCUAAAUUGUUUUCCAUAAUGGCUGGUCUAACUUACAUUCCCACCAACAGUACAAGGGUUCCUCUUUCUCCACAUCCUCACCGACACCUGCCUUUGGUCUUUUUGAUAAAAGCCUUUCUCAAGGUGUUAGGUGAUACCUCAUUUUAAUUUGUAGUUCCCCGAUGAUUAGUGAUGUUGAGCAUUUUUUCAUAAACCUGUUGGUCAUUUGUAUGUUUCAUUUGACAAAUGUCCAUUUAGGUUGUUUGCCCAUUUUUGAUCAAGUUAUUUGCUUUCUUGCUGUUGAGUUGUUUGAGUUUCCUAUAUAUUUUGGACAUUAACCCCAUAUAGGAUACAUGGUUUACACAUAUCUUAUUCCAUUCGGCAGGCUGUCUCUCCACUCUGUUGUUUCCUUUGCUGUGCAGAAGCUUUUUAGUUUGAUGCAAUCCCACCUGUGUUUGCUUUUGUUGCCUGUGCUUUUGGGAUCAUGUCUAAAAAAUCAUCAUCAAGGCUAAUACCAAAGAGCUUUUUCCCUAUGUUUUCUCAAAAUGGAUUAAAGACUUAAACAUAAAACCUGAAAUGUAAAGCCACAUUCCAUCAUUUUAAUCAGUCCCUGGCAAAUACUUACAACUCAUUUGCCCUGCUUGUCGCUCUCAUGCUUGCCUGGAAAAAUCCCUCCCCUGGUGUCUGCAUCUCUGCACCCACCCACACGUGUGAACCCAAACAGCCUGGAGACAAAGCCCAACCAGUGCCAAUGGGUGUCACUCUGCGUUGCUGACUGGACCUCAGUGGCCCCUAAUUAUUGCCAGCCAAUCCCACUGCAGUUUAUUAAUCAGCUGGCUCCUCCUUUUCCUGGAUACCAGCUCAUACUCCUCUGUCCUGGAGCCUCCAAUGCUCCUUCCUCCUGCUCUCACUCGAGGGGAGCUGGGUCCCAUUCCCAACUUACCUGGGACAUGGAAGCUGUCAGAAGAGAGUGCCUUUAUGCUCCCGUACCUCACCUCCCGUUUCCUACACAAGUCACUGGGUGUCUACCACAGCUUGUGUCCCCCUUCGUCUAUUCCAGGAUUUCACUCAGCCCUUAUCCAUUUUAAUAAGUCUGAUAUGUCCACACUUUGAAACUGCUUGGCCUAAAGAGGGUGAGGCUGUGCUUUGAUGCCAUGAGAAUUUCCUGAGCAGCCUUCUCCCGCCUCCUGUGGGGUCUGCAAGGGAAACCUGAGCAGGAAACCCCAGGCACCAGAGGGACGUUCAGCAGCCACUUUCAGUAAAAUGCCAUUGCCUAACAGCUUAAUUACGAGCUGAAAUGAAAAAAACAAAUAAACAAAUAAAACCCUAACCUCCUUUUCUAUGCUUAAUUCCAUUCCUAGUGACCUUCUUUGAUGGAAAUAGAGAAAUUCUGUUGUUGUAUUGAAGAAGUAUCAAAUUUCCCACAUGUGCAUUUCAGCUUCUCAGAACUCAUGGUUGCCAUGGGCUGUGGUGCAAGCUUAUCUGCCCCUGGCCCACACAAUGUCCAAUGUCAUGUCAUGGGACCCCUGCCACUUUGUGACAUAAAAUGUAAGAACAUUGAAUGCUACUGGCUGGGUACGGUGGCUCACGCCUGUAAUCCCAGCACUUUGGGAGGCCAAGACGGGCGGAUCACAAGGUCAGGAGAUAGAGAUCAUCCUGGCUAACACAAUGAAACCCUGUCUCUACUAAAAGUACAAAAAAAUUAGCCAGGUGUGGUGGCAUGUGCCUGUUGUCCCAGCUACUCGGGAGGCUGAGGCAGGAGAAUUGCUUGAACUCAGGAGAGGGACAUUGCAGUGAGCCAGCAUUGCGCCAUUGGACUCCAGCCUGGGCGACAGAGUGAACUCUGUCAAACAAACAAACAAACAAACAGAAAACACGUAAUGCUACUUUGAGGCUAAUGUAGACAAUAUGUGUUUCCCUGCCACAAGCCAGCCUACAUUUGGCUGUGCCAAGGUAGAGGGCAGGAGCUUGCCUGGAGUAGGCAAUACUGUGGGAUCCAUCAGGAAAGCCACCCCCUGGUCUGCAGAGGACUGUUCUGUGACCGAAGAGCUUACAGGAAAGGUCAAUGUCGACUCAAGGUUAACUUAGGUCAUUCAGUGUGUUUUGACUGAGAGUUUAUCACAUAUUGGGUGCAGUCCUAGGCAAGUGAAGGUAGUGUCACUGUCAACAAGGAUGUCACAGCCCUGCCCUCAUGUUGCUUAUAUGCCAGUGGGAGGGAAACAUGAAGACAGAUAAGCAGGCAAAUAACUAUGUGCAAUUGUAGUGGGGGCUGUGAAGAAAAUGAGCAUAGGCCUGAACCAGAGUGGCAGUGGUUGCAUUUUAGGGGUAUUGGUCAGGAGAGUGUCUCCGGAGGUUGACAUUGAAGCUGAGACCCAGUGGAUGAGAAGGGGCCACUUGAGUGGAAGACAUCAUCCUGGCCAAGGGCAGACCCAGAACAAAGACCCGAGAUGAGGCAGAGAUGGGUGAUUAUGAAACAGAAGACCCAUCAGUGUGGCCCCUGGAGCAGAGGGACCAGGGAGAGGCAAUGCAAUGAAGCUGGGGAGAAGGGCCUUGCAGCCAGAUGAGGAGUCUGGAUUUCAAUCUCAGAGAAAUGGGAAGCCCUUGGAAGGUUUGAGAAAGAGUGAGCCAUUGUCUGAUUUGUCAUCUAAGCAGUUUAGUCUUGCUGCUUUGUGUGAAUGGAUUCAAGGGGG
This 16509-nucleotide long non-coding RNA is filed under the name Homo sapiens (human). RNAcentral's name for it is "HSALNT0332035". The record is from RNAcentral. Lineage: Eukaryota; Metazoa; Chordata; Mammalia; Primates; Hominidae.